UUAUCCCCCUGGCAGGGGAGAUACCAUGAUCAUGAAGGUGGUCUUCCCAGGGUGAGGCUUAUUCAUUGCACUCCGGAUGUGAUGACCCCUGCGAUUUCUCCAAAUGUGGGAAACUCGACUGCAUAAUUUGUGGUAGUGGGAGACUGCGUUCUCCCC
RNAcentral lists this small nuclear RNA (156 nucleotides) under Carlito syrichta (Philippine tarsier). Its description in RNAcentral is "U1 spliceosomal RNA (ENSTSYG00000023073.2)". It matches the Rfam family "U1 spliceosomal RNA". Rfam says of the family: U1 is a small nuclear RNA (snRNA) component of the spliceosome (involved in pre-mRNA splicing). Its 5' end forms complementary base pairs with the 5' splice junction, thus defining the 5' donor site of an intron. The record is from Rfam by way of RNAcentral. Lineage: Eukaryota; Metazoa; Chordata; Mammalia; Primates; Tarsiidae.